This 506-nucleotide ribosomal RNA is filed under the name uncultured bacterium. RNAcentral describes it as "partial 16S ribosomal RNA". It matches the Rfam family "Bacterial small subunit ribosomal RNA", at positions 29 to 523 of the family's 1533-position model. The record is from RNAcentral.
AGUGAACGCUGGCGGUAGGCCUAACACAUGCAAGUCGAACGGCAGCACAGGAGAGCUUGCUCUCUGGGCGGCGAGUGGCGGACGGGUGAGGAAUACAUCGGAAUCUACUCUGUCGUGGGGGAUAACGUAGGGAAACUUACGCUAAUACCGCAUACGACCUACGGGUGAAAGCAGGGGAUCUUCGGACCUUGCGCGAUUGAAUGAGCCGAUGUCGGAUUAGCUAGUUGGCGGGGUAAAGGCCCACCAAGGCGACGAUCCGUAGCUGGUCUGAGAGGAUGAUCGGCCACACUGGAACUGAGACACGGUCCAGACUCCUACGGGAGGCAGCAGUGGGGAAUAUUGGACAAUGGGCGCAAGCCUGAUCCAGCCAUACCGCGUGGGUGAAGAAGGCCUUCGGGUUGUAAAGCCCUUUUGUUGGGAAAGAAAUCCAGCUGGCUAAUACCCGGUUGGGAUGACGGUACCCAAAGAAUAAGCACCGGCUAACUUCGUGCCAGCCGCCGCUGUAA